UGACAGUGCAGCUAAGGCGUCGCACGGU
RNAcentral lists this small RNA (28 nucleotides) under Bombyx mori (domestic silkworm). RNAcentral's name for it is "ovarian small RNA-31422". The record is from RNAcentral. Lineage: Eukaryota; Metazoa; Arthropoda; Insecta; Lepidoptera; Bombycidae.